This 106-nucleotide small nucleolar RNA is filed under the name Gossypium hirsutum (cotton). Its description in RNAcentral is "Plant small nucleolar RNA R71". It matches the Rfam family "Plant small nucleolar RNA R71". Rfam says of the family: R71 is a member of the C/D box family of snoRNAs containing the C (UGAUGA) and D (CUGA) box motifs. The record is from Rfam by way of RNAcentral. RNAcentral also lists the same sequence under 1 other name. Lineage: Eukaryota; Viridiplantae; Streptophyta; Magnoliopsida; Malvales; Malvaceae.
AACCCAUAGUGAGGGCACAUUCUCAAUAAAUCCUUGUACCUCUCCCAUGCAUCAUAUAGAGUCUCUAAAUUGAUCUAACAAAGGAAGAGAUAUAGUUCCUCAACUU